RNAcentral lists this ribosomal RNA (582 nucleotides) under uncultured bacterium. RNAcentral's name for it is "bacterial SSU rRNA". It matches the Rfam family "Bacterial small subunit ribosomal RNA", at positions 157 to 770 of the family's 1533-position model. The record is from RNAcentral.
CUACUGCUAAUACCGGAUAUGCCGGAAAGGUGAAAGAUUUAUUGCCUGGAGAUGAGCUCGCGUCUGAUUAGCUAGUUGGUGGGGUAAGAGCUUACCAAGGCAUCGAUCAGUAGCUGGUCUGAGAGGAUGAUCAGCCACACUGGGACUGAGACACGGCCCAGACUCCUACGGGAGGCAGCAGUGGGGAAUUUUCCGCAAUGGGCGAAAGCCUGACGGAGCAAUACCGCGUGAGGGAGGAAGGCUUUUGGGUUGUAAACCUCUUUUCUUAAGGAAGAACACAAUGACGGUACUUAAGGAAUAAGCAUCGGCUAACUCCGUGCCAGCAGCCGCGGUAAUACGGAGGAUGCAAGCGUUAUCCGGAAUGAUUGGGCGUAAAGCGUCCGCAGGUGGUUUUGUAAGUCUGUUGUUAAAGCGUGAGGCUCAACCUCAUAAUGGCAGUGGAAACUACAAGACUAGAGUACGUUCGGGGCAGAGGGAAUUCCUGGUGUAGCGGUGAAAUGCGUAGAUAUCAGGAAGAACACCGGUGGCGAAAGCGCUCUGCUAGGCCGUAACUGACACUGAGGGACGAAAGCUAGGGGAGCG